AUGCUCGCUUCAGCACCACAUACUAAAAUUGGGAUGAUACAGAGAAGAUUAGCACGGUCCCUGCGCCAGGAUGAUACACAAAUUCAUGAAGCGUUCCAUAUUAAA
This is a small nuclear RNA of Echinops telfairi (small Madagascar hedgehog), 105 nucleotides long. The record is from Ensembl. NCBI's taxonomy places the organism in Eukaryota, Metazoa, Chordata, Mammalia, Afrosoricida, Tenrecidae.